RNAcentral lists this ribosomal RNA (449 nucleotides) under uncultured bacterium. RNAcentral describes it as "partial 16S ribosomal RNA". It matches the Rfam family "Bacterial small subunit ribosomal RNA", at positions 29 to 523 of the family's 1533-position model. The record is from RNAcentral.
AACGAACGCUGGCGGCAGGCUUAACACAUGCAAGUCGAACGCAUCCUUCGGGGUGAGUGGCAGGCGGGUGAGUAACGCGUGGGAACGUGCCCUUCAGUUCGGGAUAACCCAGGGAAACUUGGGCUAAUACCGGAUACGUGCGAGAGCAGAAAGAUUUAUCGCUGAAGGAUCGGCCCGCGUCUGACUAGCUAGUUGGUGAGGUAAUGGCUCACCAAGGCGACGAUCAGUAGCUGGUCUGAGAGGAUGACCAGCCACACUGGGACUGAGACACGGCCCAGACUCCUACGGGAGGCAGCAGUGGGGAAUAUUGGACAAUGGGCGCAAGCCUGAUCCAGCCAUGCCGCGUGAGUGAUGAAGGCCUUAGGGUUGUAAAGCUCUUUCGGCGGGGACGAUAAUGACGGUACCCGCAGAAGAAGCCCCGGCUAACUUCGUGCCAGCAGCCGCAGUAA